Molecule: long non-coding RNA, 5390 nt
Organism: Aethalodelphis obliquidens (Pacific white-sided dolphin)
Lineage: Eukaryota; Metazoa; Chordata; Mammalia; Artiodactyla; Delphinidae
Exons: 3
Source: RefSeq, a predicted model, not a curated record
AUUUGUUUAUAAGUCCAUUGUUUAGAUUUCAGAAACCAUUGCUCACAUAUGCAUCUUUAACUUACAUGUCACCAGAAAUAGAACAAUUUUCCAGCUAAAAAAUAGUAGAAAGUAACACUUACUGCACAGAAAUGUUUUAUUUCUAUGGCGUGACCUGGAAUAAACAUCUUUGUAUGCAUUACUUUGUCCGUAUUUAAAAUUAUUUCUAUCUUAAGUGAAAUUCAAGAAUCACGACCAUCCUGAGAAUCUUACUUCAUGCUGCCACACUUCUUUCUGACCAGCACUGCCCACACCUUAAUGUGUGUUGGAAUUGCCUGGGUAUCUUGUUAAAAUGCAAAUUCUGGUCCAGUACAUCUGGGGAGGGGCUCCCGGGUGACACCAGGGCUGCCCGCUUAUGGGUGAUCCGUGGACCCCUGGUAUGGGUUGAACUGUGUCCUCCCCAAAUUCACGUGCUGGCAUGCAUAGUAAAUGGAACCUUAUUUGGAAAUAGGGUUGGUACAGAUGUAAUUAGUUAAGAUGAGGUCAUUGACUGGGCCCUAAUCCAAUCUAAAUUAUAUCCUUAUAAAAAGGUGGAAUCUGACACAGACAAGCACACACAGAGGAAGCCACUGAAGGUGGGGGUUAUACACCAGCAGAAGCCGGGAGACAGCCCGGAGCAGGUCCCUCCCGAGAGCCUGCGGAGGGAGCGGGGCCCUGAGGACACCUUGAUCGUGGACUUCCAGCCUCCAGAGCUGUGAGGAAGGCAACCGAGUCUGCUGUCAGGCCCUCUGUCCCACACUCUUCCUGGCAGCCCGAGCAGACUCACGCACUGCCCUUCCCGUGGCCAGAAGUGGAGGGGUCUCACUCCAGUGCCGCAGUCAGGGCUAGGAAAAUGGUCCCAAACAGACCCUGCAAUCAGACAGGCCUACCUGCCGCUACCUGCCCUGAGCAACUUCAUAAACUCCUCAGGCAGCCCGAGGUUUGAUUCCCUCAUUUGUAAGACGGCCACGAUAAUCUUCGGACCCAUCUCAUAGGGGGUUUGCAAGGAUUAAAUAAAAGCAUGCAUGUGACCUUCCUAACUCUGCCCGCUUUUGAGAGAGUAGUUUUCAGGGCAAAACAGUAGAGAAAAACUCAGCUUGCGGGGAAGCAGGGAGAAAGUGGGUGUCGAUUACGCUUUCAAAGCUUUUUUUUGGGAAAAGGAAAGUCAGAGAGAAAUGAGACCUUGAUGGAUUCACAAGGUCAAGAAAAAAGUACUUUUUUAGGCUAAGUGGGACUGAAGAUUGUUUGUAGCUAUUUCGUCCCCAUUUUCAGAAUAGGUGGAGCCCAGGACACGGUCCCCAAACUCUGUUCCAGGUGCCGGGUGGAGGUACAGGGCGAGGCGUGGCUGCCUGGGGGCUCCCCAGCCCAGAGCUGGGAUGGCAGAGGGAGAAAUGGAGUAGGGUGUGGACACGGUCAGCUUGAAGGAGUCAGGAAGAGGAGGGACAGCCAGGCAGCUGGAUCGGUUGCCGUGGAGACCAGGGAACUCACGUCCAGGUGAGAGAGGCCUGCUCCAGGAGUGGGAAGUGGGGCCCAAGGGAAAGGGCCCAGGAACUGCACAGCCUGAAAGGGGAGUGCGCGCUCCAGCCUCACACGGAUCGCGCUGAGCUUUCUCCCGUUGGCAAAGGUUUGCCACGUAACCUUGGCCGGCCUCUGCCCCGGCUCUGGGUUCAGAUGUGGGGUGGGCAUCGGCAGACGGGGCACAGCAGAGGCUCGGAGAUUUCCUGCACGGUUUGGACCUGCCGGCCUUCCCUCUGCCGUCCCGCUCAGGGCGCGUCCAGGAGGGGCAGCUGGAGGAGGGGGCACCUGCCCAGGUGCAGCCCCAGAGCUAGCUGGCUGCCAGCCUGGGGGUGAGCCCAGUCAGGCCCAGAAGAACCAGCCAGGCAAGCCCAGCUGAGGCCCAACCUAUAGGCACAUGGGCUAAAUGAAUGCUACUGCUUUAGUCCCUGGACUUGGGUGGUUCGUUAGGUGGCAUUUUUGUGGGAACAGGAGAUGGGCAGUGCCCACGGCUGCCCUGAGGCCUGCAGCCCCUCCUUGCUCGUGGGGCUAGGUUUUUAAAUUUUUUUUUAACAUUUGACUUUUUUUUCAUCAUUUUAUUCAUUUUGGGGGCCGCACCACGUGGCAUGAGGGAUCUUAGUUCCCGGACCAGGGAUUGAACCUGCAUCCCCUGCAGUGGAAGUGCGGAGUCUUAACUGCUGGACCGCCAGGGAAGUCCCUCAUGGGGCUGGUUUUGGAGACAGUAGGGCACAGCUCGUCCGAGCAGAGGCAGGUGAGCCCUGGGAGCCACGGAGAUUGGAGGGCCACGACCUUGGUCACCUUGGCCAACUCGAAGGGUCCUGACCCACCGCCAAUGGGCGGCCAGUAGGUGUAAACUCUGUAUCCAUCGCAGUGACACUGGGGCACGCCCUAACAGGGUCCCCCAGAUACUGACCAGCAGGGACCACCUGAGGCCGGCGUCCUCCUUCCCAGGGACAACCUUGGACAAGACAGAUGAGAGCUUUGUCCUCGAGCUGCCUGUGCCCCCAAGUCUAAAAGUGUUUCAUUUGGGAAGUGGAAGGAAGCUCCCUGCUCUGGAGGGUCCCGAGACCCCCCUGCUCGCGAUGCGGGAUGGAGGGUCUGGCCAUGAUGCGCGGUGGAGGCAGCAGGUGACCGAAUCCCGCAGCAACCUUUCAUCGUAGGUCAGCUACACCCUUGGCUUCUUGGCCGUGUUUGCCGGUGCCUGGGCCCCUCAGCCCCUGCUGGGCCCCGUGGUGACAGGCAACGGCCAGAGGCAACGCCCGCAGGACGCCCAAGGCCCCACCCUCUCCGUGAGUCCAUCGCCAAGCUUUACUUACAGAUGCGCGUGGGCGAGGCCAGGUCCUGUACCUGUGGGUCCCUGGAGAGCGACAGCGGGAGCCCAGGUGGGAAGGACGCCCUUGGGCUGAGGGCGCCCGGGAGGCUUUGUGAAGAAGACCUGAGAGGAGGGGCUUUGGGUGUGUAAGGAUGGUGGGCGGGGGCCCAGGAGGGAGUGGGCACACCUGCGGCCUCCAGGAGGAAGGCGCCUUCUGUGCCUCGCACAGCAAGAGCCUCCUCUACCGUUUACGGGGAGCAUCGCCCCUUCCCACUCAGAGUGUCGCCCACACCCUGCCUGGGAGCUGGUGACGCAGGCGAGACGGCGUGAGGAGCCGGGCUGGCGUCAGCUGGGCCCCUGGGGCCACCUCGCAGCCCCGUGAGUGAGCUGCUCGGGGUGAGAUGGGACCAUAGCCCCCCACGCCCCGGGGUUCCUGCCAGGAGUCGAUGAGCUGGGCCAGGCGGGGGCUCAGAUCCGCAGCUCAGGGCCUCGGUGCUCGGGACCCCACAGGGGCCGUGGUGAUGCCUGUUACUAUCAGGAGCCGACGCAGCUGCCACGAGGACGGGCCUGGCCUGGCGCUGGCCCCAGAGGGCCCCUACCCCCUCCGCUUGCUCCCUCUGGCCUUUCCCUCCUCCGUGUGUCACAGUAGGUGAAAUUGGGAACAGGCUGGGACAAUCCUGCCACGCCCUUAUCUGAAACUGUUGCUCAUUAAGACCAUUUACAGAUUUUUUUUUUUCUAUCACAUUUUCAAUCCAAGGAAGCCUGACAUUGUAAGAUGCUCAAGGAUGCUAGGAAGGCCUGGAUGUUUCCCUGCCAAUCAAUUGGUGAGUCUCCUAAGAUUCAAGGGUGACAGCUCACAGAGACACGGGGGUGGGGCGACGAGGCUGAUAUGUAACUUACCCUCCACGUAGCCUCUCAGAUACACUUGACUACGUCCAUCAUCAGCCUCCCUCUUAAUAAUAGAAUCACGGGUAGUGACUCACAAAUUGUUGUGUUUUCCCUGCGUUUCAACUGAAGCCCCACAGAAUGCUGCAGACCUACGGCCAUUCCCGUAGCCAACUGCUCUGAACAGGGCCCUACCUGUAUUGGUUCUUUUUUAUGGGUACUGUGUACACAGAUGUGUGUUGUGUUUUUUCAUACAUUUUUGAAUGUCUCUUCUAUCCAGAAGUGAGUCUGAGCGUGGUGACUUCGUAUUGGAACAGGUGAUAAUUAUGAGAGAAAUACUGCACUGUAGUUUAGAAGGUCAACUCGCAAGGUCGAGGGAGUGGAAGUCUUUACUAAGGAGGAAAAAAAUGUCAGUUAUGCCGCUGUGUGCAGAGCAAGGAAUCCUCUCCUCCACUGACAAAAAUGCCGAGGCUGUUCCUUCUUGCGUCCUGUGUGAACUUCGAUGGUUUGUUGACAAAUCUGAAAGAAUGUGCAGCCCUUGGGAAAUGCCCUUCUAAACGCUGUGUCCUCAGAGCCUUUUCGUGACAUUUCGCAGCUGUUCUUCUUCACAGUGACUAUUUGAAAGACAGUUUCAUGAACUCAAAGCUUUCUCGCCCCUGUGUCCCUGUCCUUGGCCCCGUCCCUGCUCCAAGAGUGAUCAAAACACACGAAUUCGUUCCUUCACAGGCAAGAAAGCUAUGUAGCUGUACCUCAUCACCAACCAUUCCAUAUUCCCCAAGCAUCCUUAAACUUGUUUUCAUUUUAUAACUGCAAAUACUCUCUCUCUCCUGCUUCAGUGUGAGCCCCUGCCCAGGGCCCCGGCCCCCCCGCCAGGCACUCGGUGGGCAUUCGGUUCGUUGGUCUAAGACACCAGGCAACUCUCACUCCAUCCAAAUGGAUCCCUGACUCUUGCCUCCAAGCAGAUGCAUUUCUUUUAGGACCAUGGUUUCUUAUGUCCAUCCAGACUGGUUAAACAUUACGAAAACAAUCUCUGGCAGUUCACCUUGGAUAACGUGACUGAACGUAAUUUGGGAUGAUAAAUAGGAUGGAAAGCGCAUUUUCAGGGCUGUGUAAUGGAGUCGUCUUGGAAUUGAUUAAAUUGAUGCAAUGUUCUGGCCAGUUCCAAGUCUUCCUGGUAAUACCUGUACUGCCUACUGCCAGUUCUGGGAGGAGACCUCAAGGAACAUUCAUGAAAGGGGAGAUUCUUUUCCAAUACCCGUCUUCUUUCGUGACUGUGCAUCUUCUCCCCUGAGGGAAGCACCACAGUCGUGGAUGGCCAAUGAGUUACAACAACAAAACCUUGAGAAGUGCACAGCCUGAAAACAGAGGAGCCAUGGUACAGCUUCCAUACUGCAUGAACCUCACACAGACGGAUGCCAGCCCAACCUACGCUGAUCAACUCGGCAAGCAACAAGCAAGCAUUAUCUACCAGGUUAAACCCUUUGGAACAUUGGUAGACAGGGUAUCUGUUCAAAGUGCGCGUAUAGGCUGCGGGUACAUGGAGGCACUAUUUCACUAACUCUUCAUUUAGUUAUGGCCAAGGAGCAGUAUUUUGUGUAUCUGUUUUUUGUUUGUUUGUUUGUUUGUUUUUGCGGUAAGCGGGCCUCUCGCUGUUGUGGCC